ACGAACGCUGGCGGCGUGCUUAACACAUGCAAGUCGAACGGUGAAGGGACCAGCUUGCUGGUUCUGGAUGAGUGGCGAACGGGUGAGUAACACGUGAGUAACCUGCCCCCUUCUUCUGGAUAACCGCAUGAAAGUGUGGCUAAUACGGGAUAUUCUGCGCCUGCUGCAUGGUGGGUGUGGGAAAGAUAUUGUUUCGGUGGGGGAUGGGCUCGCGGCCUAUCAGCUUGUUGGUGGGGUGAUGGCCUACCAAGGCGGUGACGGGUAGCCGGCCUGAGAGGGUGGACGGUCACACUGGGACUGAGACACGGCCCAGACUCCUACGGGAGGCAGCAGUGGGGAAUAUUGCACAAUGGGCGCAAGCCUGAUGCAGCGACGCCGCGUGAGGGAUGGAGGCCUUCGGGUUGUGAACCUCUUUCGCCAGUGAAGCAGGCCUGCCCCUUGUGGGUGGGUUGACGGUAGCUGGAUAAGAAGCGCCGGCUAACUACGUG
This 488-nucleotide ribosomal RNA is filed under the name uncultured Actinomyces sp. Its description in RNAcentral is "bacterial SSU rRNA". It matches the Rfam family "Bacterial small subunit ribosomal RNA", at positions 29 to 507 of the family's 1533-position model. Lineage: Bacteria; Bacillati; Actinomycetota; Actinomycetes; Actinomycetales; Actinomycetaceae. The record is from RNAcentral.